RNAcentral lists this transfer RNA (77 nucleotides) under Bacillota bacterium. RNAcentral's name for it is "Firmicutes bacterium (compost metagenome) tRNA-Arg". It matches the Rfam family "tRNA". From Rfam's summary of the family: Transfer RNA (tRNA) molecules are approximately 80 nucleotides in length. Their secondary structure includes four short double-helical elements and three loops (D, anti-codon, and T loops). RNAcentral also lists the same sequence under 3 other names. Lineage: Bacteria; Bacillati; Bacillota. The record is from RNAcentral.
GCGCGCGUAGCUCAGCUGGAUAGAGCGUCUGACUACGGAUCAGAAGGUCAGGGGUUCGAAUCCUCUCGCGCGCACCA